AACCAGCACCUCAAGUGGUCAGGAUGAUUAUUGGGCCUAAAGCAUCCGUAGCCGGCUCUGUAGGUUUUCGGUUAAAUCUGUACGCUCAACGUACAGGCUGCCGGGAAUACUGCAGAGCUAGGGAGUGGGAGAGGUAGACGGUACUCGGUAGGAAGGGGUAAAAUCCUUUGAUCUAUUGAUGACCACCUGUGGCGAAGGCGGUCUACCAGAACACGUCCGACGGUGAGGGAUGAAAGCUGGGGGAGCAAACCGG
RNAcentral lists this ribosomal RNA (253 nucleotides) under uncultured archaeon. RNAcentral's name for it is "partial 16S ribosomal RNA". It matches the Rfam family "Archaeal small subunit ribosomal RNA", at positions 474 to 727 of the family's 1478-position model. The record is from RNAcentral.